UCAGGUUUUUUGGGGCCUGGACAAGAAAUUGGCACAAAGAAAGCAUUUUCCUUCUGUAAAUUGGCUGAUUUCCUACUCAAAGUACUCAGGGGCACUGGAGUCCUUUUAUGAAAAGUUUGAUCCUGAUUUCAUUAACAUAA
Molecule: long non-coding RNA, 140 nt
Organism: Ipomoea nil (Japanese morning glory)
Lineage: Eukaryota; Viridiplantae; Streptophyta; Magnoliopsida; Solanales; Convolvulaceae
Exons: 2
Source: RefSeq, a predicted model, not a curated record